UAAUCUUAAACCACGACAACUUCCUCCUCACCUCACUCCUCACUCUUUCAAGUCAGCCACUCUUUCUCAGACUCACUAAAACUCAACUCUCAAGGUCAAAGCACCACCACAUCUUCCAUCUUCCUUCUUCCUUCACCAUGGCAGCAACACCACCACGAAGUCUUCCUCCAUUUCAGAGUUCUCCCACGUCUCCAGUCGACGGUCACAGGCACACCACCAGUCUCUGCCUCCUCUUAAUCUCACUCACUCACGAAUUGGUACUCUACUGUCCAAGAAAAAAGGAGAAAACAUUGCAUGCAACACAUUUGAUGAGGUUAGCAAAAGUGACUCGCCACCAAAGAGUGAUGGCAAAGAAACUCAUAGGAAGAGAUUAUUGGAAAAUUAUUUCCAACAACAAAAAAUGUUUGUGACUGAGAAAAUGAAUGAUGUUAACAAAUACUUGGCUGAAGAACCAGUCAAUCCAAUGACUUCCUCAUUUGAUAUCCUAUUUUGGUGGAAGGACAAUUCUAAUAGUGUGAUGCAGGAAAAUGAUUAUGGAGGCGGAAGGAUUCUUGGCAGCUUGGCUUGUGUGUUAAGGAUGAAUGGAUUCAAUGGACUGCGUGUUGAUCGAGGACGACGUUAUUUAUUUUAUGUCUUUUAAAUUAUGUUUUGAUGUAAUUCCGCAAUUAGUAUUUAAAGUUAUGUUUUAUGUUUUAUAAACAAUGGGUACCCAUGCCAUAUUACAUUUUAUUUUAUACUUUUAUGUUAUUGAUACAAUAUUUAU
RNA transcript from Humulus lupulus (European hop), 763 nucleotides. RefSeq lists it as uncharacterized. The record is from RefSeq and is a predicted model, not a curated record. The transcript has 5 exons. NCBI's taxonomy places the organism in Eukaryota, Viridiplantae, Streptophyta, Magnoliopsida, Rosales, Cannabaceae.